CUGCCCCUGCAGUAUGCCCUCCCAUUGGGGCUUCACGGGCAGUUCGCACCGGACGCCGUCUUUGACA
RNAcentral lists this non-coding RNA (67 nucleotides) under uncultured alveolate. The record is from RNAcentral.